GGGGGGGGGGCUAUCAUGCAGUCGACGAACUCUGGUAUUGAUUGGUGCUUGCAUCAUGAUUUACAUUUGAGUGAGUGGCGAACUGGUGAGUAACACGUGGGAAACCUGCCCAGAAGCGGGGGAUAACACCUGGAAACAGAUGCUAAUACCGCAUAACAACUUGGACCGCAUGGUCCGAGUUUGAAAGAUGGCUUCGGCUAUCACUUUUGGAUGGUCCCGCGGCGUAUUAGCUAGAUGGUGAGGUAACGGCUCACCAUGGCAAUGAUACGUAGCCGACCUGAGAGGGUAAUCGGCCACAUUGGGACUGAGACACGGCCCAAACUCCUACGGGAGGCAGCAGUAGGGAAUCUUCCACAAUGGACGAAAGUCUGAUGGAGCAACGCCGCGUGAGUGAAGAAGGGUUUCGGCUCGUAAAACUCUGUUGUUAAAGAAGAACAUAUCUGAGAGUAACUGUUCAGGUAUUGACGGUAUUUAACCAGAAAGCCACGGCUAACUACGUGCCAGCAGCCGCGGUAAUACGUAGGUGGCAAGCGUUGUCCGGAUUUAUUGGGCGUAAAGCGAGCGCAGGCGGUUUUUUAAGUCUGAUGUGAAAGCCUUCGGCUCAACCGAAGAAGUGCAUCGGAAACUGGGAAACUUGAGUGCAGAAGAGGACAGUGGAACUCCAUGUGUAGCGGUGAAAUGCGUAGAUAUAUGGAAGAACACCAGUGGCGAAGGCGGCUGUCUGGUCUGUAACUGACGCUGAGGCUCGAAAGUAUGGGUAGCAAACAGGAUUAGAUACCCUGGUAGUCCAUACCGUAAACGAUGAAUGCUAAGUGUUGGAGGGUUUCCGCCCUUCAGUGCUGCAGCUAACGCAUUAAGCAUUCCGCCUGGGGAGUACGGCCGCAAGGCUGAAACUCAAAGGAAUUGACGGGGGGCCCGCACAAGCGGUGGAGCAUGUGGGUUUAAUUCGAAGCUACGCGAAGAACCUUACCAGGUCUUGACAUACUAUGCAAAUCUAAGAGAUUAGACGUUCCCUUCGGGGACAUGGGAUACAGGUGGGUGCAUGGGUUGUCGUCAGCUCGUGUCGUGAGAUGUUGGGAUAAGUCCCGCAACGAGCGCAAACCCUUUAUAUCAGCUGCCAGCAUUAAGUUUGGGCACUCUGAUGAGACUGCCGGUGACUAGCCGAGGCAGUGGGAUGACGUCCAAUUCAUCAUGCCCGUUUAAUGAACCUUGGG
Molecule: ribosomal RNA, 1214 nt
Filed under: Lactiplantibacillus plantarum
Lineage: Bacteria; Bacillati; Bacillota; Bacilli; Lactobacillales; Lactobacillaceae
Description: bacterial SSU rRNA
Rfam family: Bacterial small subunit ribosomal RNA
Source: RNAcentral